UUUUUAAAUUUUUGACAUUUUUUCUGUUUCCAUGGUAACGGCGGCCAUUUUGGAAAUUCCAACUUCAAAAUCCAACUCUGGCCAAGUCAGGUACCAUUUCUGUAAAGUUUCAUCCAGUUUGCAGCAUUUUGAUUAUUUUGAAAUUUUGGACAUUUUUGCUGUUUCCAUGGCAAUGGCAGGUAUUUUGAAAAUUCCAAGAACUGUUGGUACCUCAGGGCACCACUGCCAACAUUUACAUAAACUUUCAAGAGGUUGCCUCUUAUAACGAAAGAUUUAGAAUUUUGAUUUUUUUUUACAUUUUUGCAGUUUCCAUGGUAACGGCGGCCAUUUUUUACCAUUCCAAUGUCUAUUGCACAACUUCACAUGGCGGUUCAUAUUAUGGUAUAGUUCCAUCAACAUGGGUCUGACCAAUUACGAGAAAUAGCGUGGACAAAAUGUGUGGAAGAAUAAAAAUAAAAAGAAAAAAAAGAAACGUAGAAUAACAAGAUGUCACCCCAACUCCGUUAAGGGUGCCAUAAAAAAGAAUCGUACAAUAACAAUAUGUCACCCGACCUCCGUGUGACAUAACUAGAUUUGCGAUUGCAAGCAAUAGCGGAUGGCACCCUUCCCCUAUUGCCAGGUGAGCAGCAGCCACUAUAUGAAAUUGUGCAAUCGGGGUAUGGCAUCAUCAAGAUGGCUGACGUUGCCAUGGAAACUAAAAAAAUGUAAAAAAAAAAUUAAAAUUCUAAAUCUUUCGUUAUAAGAGCCAACCUAAUGAAACUUUAUUUAAAUGUUGGCAGUGGUGCCCUGAGGUACCAACAGUACUUAGCUUCUGCAAAAUCUCUACCAUUGCCAUGGAAACUGGAGAAAAGGUUAACAUUGAACCUAUGGGAAAAAACAUCAAACCAGCCUUUUCUGAAGGAAUAUAACAUAAAGUUCAAAGAAACUUUAUGAAUAUAUAACAUGGCAUAAGUCGAUGUUGAAACUGUUGUUGGAAUUUUCGAAAUGGACACCGUUACCAACAGCAAAAAUGUCAAAAAAUCUCAAAAUGCGCCAAACUUAAUGAAACUCAUUAUGAAUGACCAAUGUCAAGUAAAGAUAUGAAAUUGGACUUCGGAAUUUCCAAAAUGGCCGCCGUUGCCAUGGAAACUACAAAAAUUUCAAAAUUUUCAAUAUGCUACAAAAUUGAGGAAACUUUACAACAAUGUUAACGGAAAUCUGUAUAAUUAUGCAGUCUUUGAAUUUUGAAUUUUCAAAAUGGCUGCCGCUCACCUGGCAAUAGGGGAAGGGUG
Molecule: long non-coding RNA, 1271 nt
Filed under: Mytilus galloprovincialis (Mediterranean mussel)
Lineage: Eukaryota; Metazoa; Mollusca; Bivalvia; Mytilida; Mytilidae
Source: RNAcentral